AGCAGCCGCGGUAAUUCCAGCUCCAAUAGCGUAUAUUAAAGUUGUUGCAGUUAAAAAGCUCGUAGUUGAAUUUCGGAAUCUGUCCAUCGGUCGGGCUUUAUUGUCCGUACUGGUGUGGUGGGUUCUUACCUUCUGAAUAACCAGCAUGCCAUUUAUUUGGUGCGUUGGGGAAGCAGGACUAUUACCUUGAAAAAAUUAGAGUGCUCAAAGCAGGCUAGUGCCUGAAUACAUUAGCAUGGAAUAAUAAAAUAGGACGGCAUGGUUCUAUUUUGUUGGUUUCUAGGAUCACCGUAAUGAUUAAUAGGGAUAGUUGGGGGCAUUAGUAUUCAAUUGUCAGAGGUGAAAUUCUUGGAUUUAUUGAAGACUAACUUCUGCGAAAGCAUUUGCCAAGGAUGUUUUCAUUAAUCAAGAACGAAAGUUAGGGGAUCGAAGACGAUCAGAUACCGUCGUAGUCUUAACCAUAAACUAUGCCGACUAGGGAUCGGACGAUGUUAAUUUUUUAAUGACUCGUUCGGCGCCUUACG
This 524-nucleotide ribosomal RNA is filed under the name uncultured Acaulospora. RNAcentral's name for it is "SSU rRNA". It matches the Rfam family "Eukaryotic small subunit ribosomal RNA", at positions 569 to 1092 of the family's 1831-position model. Lineage: Eukaryota; Fungi; Glomeromycota; Glomeromycetes; Diversisporales; Acaulosporaceae. The record is from RNAcentral.